Molecule: long non-coding RNA, 407 nt
Filed under: Malus domestica (apple)
Lineage: Eukaryota; Viridiplantae; Streptophyta; Magnoliopsida; Rosales; Rosaceae
Description: long non-coding RNA (MDOM_LNC020396)
Source: RNAcentral
UAUUUUUCUUAUACGUUUUAUGAAAGAACCUUUGCAAGUAAAAAAUUCUAAUAAUAAGAACGUAUGAAAAAUAUUCAAAUGGACUAGAAAAUAAAGAAAAAACCUUUUUGUGCGAGAGUCUUCUACAAGUAUGGAUUUCAACUCUCAAUGAAAGCACCAAUUUGUGGAUGCAAAUUUUCUCCUCCUCGAUCUUGGACAAUUUUGCACCUACAAAACAACUAGCACCUUAGGUUAAGGCCAAAAGCCUCACGCGCCCACGAUGAAUGGGGGGGGCUUUGGCUGAAGAACCUCCGAUGCCAAAGUUAGAAUUUUAGAGAGAAAUAGUGUUUAGAGUAUUUGGGAUUUUUUGUAAGAGAAUUCGAAUGACUUUUUGGUGAGAAUAGGUGCCUAUUUAUAGGAUUAAGCUU